This 498-nucleotide ribosomal RNA is filed under the name uncultured Desulfobulbus sp. Its description in RNAcentral is "bacterial SSU rRNA". It matches the Rfam family "Bacterial small subunit ribosomal RNA", at positions 903 to 1382 of the family's 1533-position model. The record is from RNAcentral. Lineage: Bacteria; Pseudomonadati; Thermodesulfobacteriota; Desulfobulbia; Desulfobulbales; Desulfobulbaceae.
GCUCAGAAACUACAAAGGAAUUGACGGGGCCCGCACAAGCGGUGGAGUAUGUGGUUUAAUUCGAUGCAACGCGAAGAACCUUACCUGGUCUUGACAUCCCGGAGACCCUUAGGAAACUAGGGGGUGCUUCCAUCUGGAAGAAUCUGGAGACAGGUGCUGCAUGGCUGUCGUCAGCUCGUGUCGUGAGAUGUUGGGUUAAGUCCCGCAACGAGCGCAACCCUUGCCUUUAGUUGCCAGCAGUUCGGCUGGGCACUCUAAAGGGACUGCCGGUGUUAAACCGGAGGAAGGUGGGGAUGACGUCAAGUCCUCAUGGCCUUUAUGACCAGGGCUACACACGUACUACAAUGGCCGAUACAAAGGGCAGCGACACUGCGAGGUGAAGCCAAUCCCGUAAAAUCGGUCUCAGUCCGGAUUGGAGUCUGCAGCUCGACUCCAUGAAGUUGGAAUCGCUAGUAAUCGCGCAUCAGCCAUGGCGCGGUGAAUACGUUCCCGGGCCUU